GGAUGGGUGCCACACUUACACUUACACACUAAUGUUCUGUCUUUCUCAUGGCAAGCGUCAUUUUAAAGAAGUUUGAUCAAGUGUGAAGUGACGGGACAGAGCAAAACUCUCUUGGAGGAUCGGCCUGUCUUCCCAGGCUAAAACCACUCCCAAACAUUGACUCGUAUCAUGCAAAAAUUUUGAGUUCGCUUGGAGUUCACAGAGGCUCAAGCUACUGAAUUAGAGCUAUUUAGAAGAGGCAUAGAACUAGAUUCUAAUUAAUGAACCUGAUCAUCACCCUUGUUAAGUGUGGUUGUAGGGAAGAUAAAGAAUUAAAGGAAACUAAAGAAGAGGAAAGAUGAAGAGGAAUGGGCUCACAAGUCAGCAGCUUUCACGUGCACGCCAGCCCGGGGGUUUCAUGCCCUCUUCACAGCAGCUCUCUGCUGUGGUGGGGAAACCGAGUGUUUAGAGAUUAAAGGAGUUGCCUCACGCCAUGCAGCCGAUACUCAAGCCUUUCUGAUGCAGUAAAAACAGACUUUCCUACCCCGGUGGGAAUCUUCCCUGAAAGAUUCCGAGUCGCUGACGAGGGAUAUUUGCAGACUCUGGGCACAUCCUGAAUUGAUAUUUGCCAGAACCGUGCAAACCAAAGGAAGUCAGCGUUGCUGACUGAGGUCCUGGAAGCCUCACCUUCCCAGGCCCUGCAGCUGGAGAGUUUGGGUCAAGACCCCUGGAAAUGAACUUCAUGAAAUGCGCAAUUUGACACAGCUGUGCCAGCUGGAAUACACCUCUAAGAGCUGAGUAGAGAAGAAACCUGAACCAGGAGACAGCGUAAUACCGCAC
Long non-coding RNA from Chinchilla lanigera (long-tailed chinchilla), 819 nucleotides. RefSeq lists it as uncharacterized. The record is from RefSeq and is a predicted model, not a curated record. NCBI's taxonomy places the organism in Eukaryota, Metazoa, Chordata, Mammalia, Rodentia, Chinchillidae. The transcript is spliced from 3 exons.